AAGAGAUCGAGUGACAUGUAGCAUACUACAAAACUUAGAAAAAAGACCCCCAAAUGCAGACCCAAUUUCUGAACUAACAGGUCUGAUUGAAGUAAGAGAUCUAAUAACAAUGAUAACAGGUCUCUUAUGUGCAUUAGGACCCACUAUGUUUGGCGGUAAAAAAAAAAAUUAAAGAAAUAACAUACUCGUUGUUAAUCUAACGGGUCUGUUACAUGCACGAGGGACCACUUCUCUCGUUGGGAAAAGCUAGAGACAAAUAUAAAGCCAUAUUUUCCAAUGUCUCCCUUACUUUCCUUUAUUUAUAAAAAUAAAUUCCUUACUAGUGUUUUCUCCAUCACCUUCACUCACCUAGCGUGAUACUCCCAGAUUCCUCUUCCUCACUUUAUAAUUCACUUUAACUUUUUUUUUUGGCCGAUCGAUUUCUUGAGAAAUUCGAGUAGUAUUAUCGCUCUGUUUAUCACAAGUUUGAGUCUGAGAAGCAGCAGUUUAUGCGGCAGCAGAAGGUGGAAGCUCCGCCGAGGGAGGAUGCUGUGGUGGUGGUUGAUGAAGUACAGGGGAAUCCUUGGAGUAAAAACCCGUCUCUGGAACCGCCAAGAAUCGAGAGUAGUCCUCCGAAGAAGCUCUUAAUCUUUGAUAUCAUCUAUUUCCUCCUUUGAUUUUUUUUUUUUUUAAAUCAACCAAAAAUUAUGAAGCCAUAACCACCUUCCCUCUAGUGUCGUUGGAAGCAACUUCACGUCUCUUAAUGGCCCAAUUUGAGUAUCUAAAUUGCAAGAUCUGAAGAGUAAUAAUACUAUGAUGUUUGCUUUGUUACGUUAUUGACUAUUGCAGUGAUUGAAUUGGAUGAAGAUGGUAAAUAAAAGUUCGAUUGUGAGAAGAAAGAUAUAGAUAGUUAUAUGUAAUCAUCUUAAGUUAGUUUUCCGUAACAAAAGAAUUGCAAGUUUAUCAAUUGCAAAUAUUUGGUAUAUAUAUUUGAAUGCUAUAUUUGUUGUACGUUUAAGGAGUGUGAUUGUAUUGUAUAACUUGUUGAAGCAAGUAUGUAAGGUUGUAUAUUCUUGUAAAUAUCAUAACUAUAAUGGUAUGUAGACGUUAUUUUAUUCAA
Chenopodium quinoa (quinoa) is the source of this 1099-nucleotide long non-coding RNA. RefSeq lists it as uncharacterized. Lineage: Eukaryota; Viridiplantae; Streptophyta; Magnoliopsida; Caryophyllales; Amaranthaceae. The transcript is spliced from 2 exons. The record is from RefSeq and is a predicted model, not a curated record.